This 428-nucleotide ribosomal RNA is filed under the name Reticulitermes flavipes (eastern subterranean termite). RNAcentral's name for it is "partial 16S ribosomal RNA". It matches the Rfam family "Archaeal large subunit ribosomal RNA", at positions 1889 to 2554 of the family's 2987-position model. Lineage: Eukaryota; Metazoa; Arthropoda; Insecta; Blattodea; Rhinotermitidae. The record is from RNAcentral.
CGCCUGUUUAUCAAAAACAUCUCUUCUCGUUAGUUUUUGAAGUAUGGCCUGCCCACUGACCUUGAAUGUUGAAGGGCCGCGGUAUUUUGACCGUGCAAAGGUAGCAUAGUCAUUAGUUCUUUAAUUGUGAUCUGGUAUGAAUGGCUUGACGAGGCAUGAGCUGUCUUAAUUUUGAAUUGUUUAUUGAAUUUGGUCUUUGAGUUAAAAUUCUUAGAUGUUUUUAUGGGACGAGAAGACCCUAUAGAGUUUUACAUUUAUUAUGGUCUCUUUCUGUUUGUGAGGGUUCACUAGGGCUGUUUAAUAUGUUUUGUUGGGGUGAUGGGAGGGAUAUUAUUUAACCCCUCCUUUAUGUUGUUAUAUUUAUUUAUAUUUGCUUGAUCCAUUUAUUUUGAUUGUAAGAUUAAAUUACCUUAGGGAUAACAGCGUAA